GUGCUCGCUUCGGCAGCACAUAUACCAAAAUUGGAAUGAUACAGAGAAGAUUAGCACGGCGUCUGCACAAGGAUGACAUACAAAUUCGCGAAGCACUCCGUAUUUUU
This is a small nuclear RNA of Mastomys coucha (southern multimammate mouse), 107 nucleotides long. The record is from RefSeq and is a predicted model, not a curated record. NCBI's taxonomy places the organism in Eukaryota, Metazoa, Chordata, Mammalia, Rodentia, Muridae.